CUAGGAAUGACAACAGAUGAGAG
RNAcentral lists this non-coding RNA (23 nucleotides) under Arabidopsis thaliana (thale cress). Lineage: Eukaryota; Viridiplantae; Streptophyta; Magnoliopsida; Brassicales; Brassicaceae. The record is from RNAcentral.